RNAcentral lists this ribosomal RNA (557 nucleotides) under uncultured bacterium. RNAcentral describes it as "bacterial SSU rRNA". It matches the Rfam family "Bacterial small subunit ribosomal RNA", at positions 390 to 939 of the family's 1533-position model. The record is from RNAcentral.
AUUCAUGCCGGUGUGUGAAGAAGGCCUAUGGUUGUAAAGCACUUAAUGCGAGGAGGACGGCUACUGAGUUAAUACCUAGAGAUAGUGGACGUUACUCGCAGAAUAAGCAGCCGGCUAACUCUGUGCCAGCAGCCGCGGUAAUACAGAGGGUGCAAGCGUUAAUCGGAUUUACUGGGCGUAAAGCGCGCGUAGGCGGCUAAUUAAGUCAAAUGUGAAAUCCCCGAGCUUAACUUGGGAAUUGCAUUCGAUACUGGUUAGCUAGAGUGUGGGAGAGGAUGGUAGAAUUCCAGGUGUAGCGGUGAAAUGCGUAGAGAUCUGGAGGAAUACCGAUGGCGAAGGCAGCCAUCUGGCCUAACACUGACGCUGAGGUGCGAAAGCAUGGGGAGCAAACAGGAUUAGAUACCCUGGUAGUCCAUGCCGUAAACGAUGUCUACUAGCCGUUGGGGCCUUUGAGGCUUUAGUGGCGCAGCUAACGCGAUAAGUAGACCGCCUGGGGAGUACGGUCGCAAGACUAAAACUCAAAUGAAUUGACGGGGGCCCGCACAAGCGGUGGAGCA